Molecule: ribosomal RNA, 497 nt
Filed under: uncultured bacterium
Lineage: Bacteria
Description: partial 16S ribosomal RNA
Rfam family: Bacterial small subunit ribosomal RNA
Source: RNAcentral
GAUGAACGCUGGCGGCGUGCCUAAUACAUGCAAGUCGAGCGAACGGACGAGAAGCUUGCUUUUCUGAUGUUAGCGGCGGACGGGUGAGUAACACGUGGAUAACCUACCUAUAAGACUGGGAUAACUUCGGGAAACCGGAGCUAAUACCGGAUAAUAUUUUGAACCGCAUGGUUCAAAAGUGAAAGACGGUCUUGCUGUCACUUAUAGAUGGAUCCGCGCUGCAUUAGCUAGUUGGUAAGGUAACGGCUUACCACGGCAACGAUGCAUAGCCGACCUGAGAGGGUGAUCGGCCACACUGGAACUGAGACACGGUCCAGACUCCUACGGGAGGCAGCAGUAGGGAAUCUUACGCAAUGGGCGAAAGCCUGACGGAGCAACGCCGCGUGAGUGGUGAAGGUCUUCGGAUCGUAAAACUCUGUUAUUAGGGAAGAACAUAUGUGUAAGUAACUGUGCACAUCUUGACGGUACCUAAUCAGAAAGCCACGGCUAACUACGUG